CAUUUAAUUGGAUGAUCCCCCUCAAACCUUACCAUCUCUUGAAUUAUUAACCGGCGUUACAUCGUUGUCGUCAGUUCAUGCCGUGAGGUAUUAUAUUAAGUUAUUAAAUGAACGUAACCCUUUCUCUUACAUAGAGAUAUUUAUUAUUUUACGAUAAUAGGAAGUAGAGGUUGAAGACUAAUCAUGAUGACCCUAAUGAGAUGGGCUAUAGACGUGUUACAAUAUUAUUUACAAUUAUAGUAUAUCUUUUAUAUUUUAAAAUAUACUUAUUUAAAUGAUAAGAAUAUGACAUAGUUUUCUUUUAUGGAUUGUAAUCUGAAAUUCGGUUACAUAAAGGAGGAAUUGCUAGUAAUCGCGAACUAGAGUGUCGCGGUGAAAUUUUUUGCUACUUCGUACUAACCACUCAUCAACAGCAAGAAAUUUUUAUUUUCCUCUUGAUUUAAUAUCCCCUUGGGGAUAUCUACUUUAUAUGAGGUUAAUUGAUAAAGG
Molecule: ribosomal RNA, 489 nt
Filed under: Sungouiella intermedia
Lineage: Eukaryota; Fungi; Ascomycota; Pichiomycetes; Serinales; Metschnikowiaceae
Description: SSU rRNA
Rfam family: Bacterial small subunit ribosomal RNA (bases 1-377)
Source: RNAcentral